This 722-nucleotide ribosomal RNA is filed under the name uncultured Staphylococcus sp. Its description in RNAcentral is "bacterial SSU rRNA". It matches the Rfam family "Bacterial small subunit ribosomal RNA", at positions 60 to 764 of the family's 1533-position model. Lineage: Bacteria; Bacillati; Bacillota; Bacilli; Caryophanales; Staphylococcaceae. The record is from RNAcentral.
AGUCGAGCGAACAGACGAGGAGCUUGCUCCUCUGACGUUAGCGGCGGACGGGUGAGUAACACGUGGAUAACCUACCUAUAAGACUGGGACAACUUCGGGAAACCGGAGCUAAUACCGGAUAAUAUAUUGAACCGCAUGGUUCAAUAGUGAAAGACGGUUUUGCUGUCACUUAUAGAUGGAUCCGCGCCGCAUUAGCUAGUUGGUAAGGUAACGGCUUACCAAGGCAACGAUGCGUAGCCGACCUGAGAGGGUGAUCAGCCACACUGGAACUGAGACACGGUCCAGACUCCUACGGGAGGCAGCAGUAGGGAAUCUUCCGCAAUGGGCGAAAGCCUGACGGAGCAACGCCGCGUGAGUGAUGAAGGUCUUCGGAUCGUAAAACUCUGUUAUUAGGGAAGAACAAAUGUGUAAGUAACUAUGCACGCCUUGACGGUACCUAAUCAGAAAGCCACGGCUAACUACGUGCCAGCAGCCGCGGUAAUACGUAGGUGGCAAGCGUUAUCCGGAAUUAUUGGGCGUAAAGCGCGCGUAGGCGGUUUUUUAAGUCUGAUGUGAAAGCCCACGGCUCAACCGUGGAGGGUCAUUGGAAACUGGAAAACUUGAGUGCAGAAGAGGAAAGUGGAAUUCCAUGUGUAGCGGUGAAAUGCGCAGAGAUAUGGAGGAACACCAGUGGCGAAGGCGACUUUCUGGUCUGUAACUGACGCUGAUGUGCGAAAGCGUGG